Molecule: transfer RNA, 72 nt
Filed under: Cronartium comandrae C4
Lineage: Eukaryota; Fungi; Basidiomycota; Pucciniomycetes; Pucciniales; Coleosporiaceae
Description: tRNA-Phe (GAA) (tRNA-Phe-GAA-3-1)
Rfam family: tRNA
About the family: Transfer RNA (tRNA) molecules are approximately 80 nucleotides in length.
Source: RNAcentral
GUGAGCAUAGCUCAAUGGAUUGAGUAUUCCUUGGAAUUAAGGUGGUCAUGGGUUUGAGUCCCAUUGCACACA